RNAcentral lists this ribosomal RNA (273 nucleotides) under uncultured bacterium. RNAcentral's name for it is "partial 16S ribosomal RNA". It matches the Rfam family "Bacterial small subunit ribosomal RNA", at positions 524 to 796 of the family's 1533-position model. The record is from RNAcentral.
UACAGAGGGUGCAAACGUUGCUCGGAAUCACUGGGCGUAAAGCGCGUGUAGGCGGACCGGUAAGUCGGGUGUGAAAUCCCUGGGCUCAACCCAGGAACUGCAUCCGAAACUACCGGCCUAGAGUGUCGGAGAGGGAAGUGGAAUUCUCGGUGUAGAGGUGAAAUUCGUAGAUAUCGAGAGGAACACCGGUGGCGAAGGCGGCUUCCUGGACGAUAACUGACGCUGAGACGCGAAAGCGUGGGGAGCAAACAGGAUUAGAAACCCCCGUAGUCC